UUUGUUUUUUGGUUGCUAUUUUCUUAUUUAGAAUUUUUUUUUAUUUUAUAUUUUUGCAAUUUCACCCUCCUUCAUCUUUUUCAUGUCAAAUUUGAUCCUUAUUCUUUUGAUUUUUUUUACUUUGGCAAGUUUUUAGAAUUGAUUUUUUUUAUUUCAUAUUUUUAACAUUACAUUUAUUGAGAAUUAAGCUUUUUAAUUGAGUCUAUGUCGGGAUUUUUUUUAACAAUAUUUUCAACUUUUAUUCUUUUGAUUUUUCUUGUUAUUUUAUUAAUUUUUUUUAAUUUGAUCAUUCAAUCAAAUAAAAA
This 305-nucleotide long non-coding RNA is filed under the name Populus trichocarpa (black cottonwood). Its description in RNAcentral is "long non-coding RNA (PTRI_LNC001317)". The record is from RNAcentral. Lineage: Eukaryota; Viridiplantae; Streptophyta; Magnoliopsida; Malpighiales; Salicaceae.